UGAUGUAUGCAAUCUUGAAAACUUAUAUAUUUUGAGGAAAAAAGUAAUAUUGUCGCACACUUGUUGGCGGAGUGUAUAGAGUUGUGCGGGUGAAAAUACAUCCACCAUGGAUUGAAUCUGAAUGCUCAAUUUAUGCACGCAUGGGAAUGUGUUUGGUAGGAAGGUAAUUUCUGAGAUGUGUUAAUAAAUACCAACUCAUGAAAAAUGUAGAUGUCCAUACAAAAGUAUGUUCAGUCUUAUUAUGCAUGUGGUGAUAUGUGUACGUGGAUGAGUUAUUCCUUGUAUUAGAAAAGCACAGGACGCGGUCAUAAAAUAUACCGACAAAUGAUCGUUCCUUCUCGUAAAAGAUCUAAUCGACUCAAGGAACAGGUAAAUAUUGUGGUCACUGGGAGAAGGGUUCCUCGUUGUUAUUGGCCGUGGAGCUCAUUGUACACUAUAUAUGGGCAUAAAUGACGAUUAUAGCUCAAUAGUUCUACAUCCCUUAUGCUAUUGAAGCAAUCGCCCUUGAUCUAUCAAAGAUAGUUUUCCAUAUGACAUAUGCAACAUGUUGUGUUGUACCACAUCUAGAAUUUCUAAGUCAAAACCAAUAACAUAUACCUAGAUAUUAUGCAUGUUCGAUCUCCGAGACAACAUAUUUUGAUGCUUUGUCGUAAUCAUUAUAUUAUGUAAUUUCCUAAAUUAAUAGUGUAAUUAAUUGCCACCCAGUAUUCCGUUAUUACAGUUAGCAAUAUUGUCAUCUCAAGUUGGUAUUGCUAGAGUAAUAUGUGUAAGUUCUAAAGUUCACUUUUUAGGAGUUAGGUUGCUAUUGAAGUGAAAUUUUCUAGGUGGUGUUAGAGAAGUAUCUUGACAACUGGUUAGGAUUAACAUGACAUUUAUUGGAUAUCUAAUGAAGGCGCAUUAUGUCAGUAAUUGCUUCUAGAGGUAGUUUGGGUUCGCAGACCAUCUAUUUUAGUAACUAUGUUCGGGGCCGCCACCACGUGGAUCCUCCCACCACGUCUCCGGGGCCACCGCCCCGAAAUCCUGCACCUUUGCCCCCAUCGAAAGGAUCAGUCCCCUCAAAGCCACGCCGCGAGCUCCAACAUCCGUCUGCACCUGAGCGUCGCCACUAGGAUCUGCAUAAGCAUGAGAAGUUGAUGUCCGCGAACUCACAUGCCUGAAGAAAUGUCAUGACAACAAACUCCGCGAGCGUGACCUUCAGGUUGGGCGGCAACUCCAAACGCCUCCCCCACGGAAUUUACAGACAUUUUAGGACUCGGGAGUGUUUUGUAGCCUGGGAAUCAAAUUGGCUUCCUCGCGCGUGUGUGUUGCUUGCUCUGUUGUGUAGUUGUGCAAGACGAAGGUCUGGUGACUAGUCUGAUUGGGUAUGUGCAUGCUAUCAUGCAUGGGGCAUGUGGAGAGUUGAUUGUUGUUCUUGGAACAUGUUUGUCAUGUGCAUGUAGUGGUCGUGUCAAUACAUUUUGCGCAGGAAAUAUUUGUUGGAUUGUAAUUCAGAACUGCUCUUGCUUGCUAAAUACAUUUCUGGAAUAUCAAUUUUGUAAGAUAAUUGACUUACUUAUUAUUAUUUUCAGGUCACCAUUGGUAUAAGGAUUUUGCAUCAGUUCCAAGAGGCAUGUUUGUCGAGCUAAAAGGAUCUAUUGCUAGAAUUUCUCUAAUAUUUUGGACAUUUUAAUAUAUAUCUGCUGAAUUAGUACCCUUGUUGGGUGGAGUACAUUCACCGAAACCCGGUGUUAUAUUUAGUGCUUUUGGCUAUGAUGUAAUUGUAGACUGCAGGAUGGAUUGUUAUGCUUUUGGUUGUGAUCUAGUAUUGAGCUUUUGAAUGUACAAAUUUACACCUAUGAUCGAUUGCUGAGAUAUAUAUUAUGUCCUAGUAGAUGCAACUUUAAUUACUCUGCAUGUGUGUUGUAGAUUAUGAACAUAAGUGACGAUCAGUACCUCUAUAGUUCUAUAUCCCUUUUCUAUUGAAACCGUCACACAUUUGUAGCACA
This 1985-nucleotide long non-coding RNA is filed under the name Triticum aestivum (bread wheat). RNAcentral describes it as "long non-coding RNA (TAES_LNC024215)". Lineage: Eukaryota; Viridiplantae; Streptophyta; Magnoliopsida; Poales; Poaceae. The record is from RNAcentral.